GCUAACGCAUUAAGCGCCCCGCCUGGGGAGUACGGCCGCAAGGCUAAAACUUCAAAGGAAUUGACGGGGGCCCGCACAAGCGGCGGAGCAUGUGGAUUAAUUCGAUGCAACGCGAAGAACCUUACCUGGGUUUGACAUGCACAGGAUCGCGGCAAGAGAUGUCGUUUCCCUUGUGGCCUGUGUGCAGGUGGGUGCAUGGCUGUCGUCAGCUCGUGUCGUGAGAUGUUGGGUUAAGUCCCGCAACGAGCGCAACCCUUGUUCCAUGUUGCCAGCGGGUUAUGCCGGGGACUCAUGGGAGACUGCCGGGGUCAACUCGGAGGAAGGUGGGGAUGACGUCAAGUCAUCAUGCCCCUUAUGUCCAGGGCUUCACACAUGCUACAAUGGCUCAUACAGAGGGCUGCGAGACCGUGAGGUGGAGCGAAUCCCUUAAAGUGAGUCUCAGUUCGGAUCGGGGUAUGCAACUCGACCCCGUGAAGUUGGAGUCGCUAGUAAUCGCAGAUCAGCAACGCUGCAGGUGGAUACGUUCCCGGGCUUGCACUCAC
RNAcentral lists this ribosomal RNA (542 nucleotides) under uncultured bacterium. RNAcentral describes it as "bacterial SSU rRNA". It matches the Rfam family "Bacterial small subunit ribosomal RNA", at positions 851 to 1390 of the family's 1533-position model. The record is from RNAcentral.